UGGGGAAUCUUGCGCAAUGGGCGAAAGCCUGACGCAGCGACGCCGCGUGAGGGAAGAAGGCCUUCGGGUUGUAAACCUCUUUCAGGAGGGACGAAGCCACUCGGGUUAAUAGCCCAGAGGGUGACGGUACCUCCAGAAGAAGCCCCGGCUAACUACGUGCCAGCAGCCGCGGUAAUACGUAGGGGGCUAGCGUUGUCCGGAUUUAUUGGGCGUAAAGAGCGUGUAGGCGGCCAGGUAGGUCUGCUGUGAAAACUCGAGGCUCAACCUCGAGACGUCGGCGGAAACCAUCUGGCUAGAGUCCGGAAGAGGAGAGUGGAAUUACUGGUGUAGCGGUGAAAUGCGCAGAUAUCAGGAAGAACACCCGUGGCGAAGGCGGCUCUCUGGGACGGUACUGACGCUGAGACGCGAAAGCGUGGGGAGCGAACAGGAUUAGAUACC
This 438-nucleotide ribosomal RNA is filed under the name uncultured bacterium. RNAcentral describes it as "bacterial SSU rRNA". It matches the Rfam family "Bacterial small subunit ribosomal RNA", at positions 355 to 786 of the family's 1533-position model. The record is from RNAcentral.